Non-coding RNA from Aspergillus wentii DTO 134E9, 87 nucleotides. The record is from the annotation of a RefSeq genome assembly. Lineage: Eukaryota; Fungi; Ascomycota; Eurotiomycetes; Eurotiales; Aspergillaceae.
GCACUAAUGGUCUAGUGGUUACGAUUCGAUCCUCCCAUCACUUGAUGAGACCAGAUCGAGGCCCGUGUUCGAAUCACGGUUAGUGCA